AUGGGGCGGGGGGCUCGGGGGUGCGCAACACAGCCCGGUGCUGAGGACCGGGGUGCAGCACAGAGCCCCUCCCCAAGGAAGACCGAGACCAGAGCUGGGGUGGCCGAGUACCCCGCGGGCCGCUGUGGACAGGGCAGGGUAGGGGCGCGGCAGGAGCCUGUGCCAGGGCGGCCCAGGGUGGGCCACAAGACAGCUGCGGCCUCUGCGACCCUGGCGCUCCCUGCCCUGCCCAGCCGCCCGCGCAGCCCCAGGAAUUCACUACGGGGGCCGCACCCAGGCUUCCGUCCACGCCCUGGCCCUUGGCACCCAGGCCCCCUCGCCACGAGGGGAGGGGAGGGAAGGGGAGAGCAGCUGCCAUGGCCGCCCUGGCCUCGCAGAGUCUUCAGGGCCUGGGAUCCCAGCAGGGCUGUCCACCCCAGGUCAGGGCCUCCCAGAAAUGGCUCCACGGCGCCUGGCAACCUGCAUCAGAAAUCACUCACCAGGGGCCGGGGCUGUGGCUCAGAGGGUUACUCCUCUGCCUCGGGCGCAGCCACCCCACGUGGGCAGCAAUGGGCGCCGGUUCGAGUCCCAGCUGCUCCUCUUCCAAUCCAGCUCUCUGCUAUGGCCUGGGAAAGCAGCAGAAGAUGGCUCAAGUCCUUGGGCCCCUGCACCCACGUGGGAGACCUGGAAGAAGCUCCUGGUUCCUGGCUUCGCAUCAGUGUAGCUCUACUCAUGUGCAUGGACAGCACAUAUACAAGGCACACCUGUGUCCGUGUGAGAGCAGUGCUGAGCUGGCCUGAGCCCUGCCUGCCCCUGGACACAGCCCCGUGGUGGUGGGAGGGGUGGGGUAUGUGGGGCUGCCCCCUGCCCUCUGGCAGCCGCAGCAGAACGUGGCACCAGGCCGGAGGGCAGAGGUGCAGCAGGGGCAGGAGCCUCUCCAAACUGCCCCGGGCUCUGCCCCCACCGGCCCAGAGCCAGGGAGGGUGGUGGCGGCAGGCCUGGGAGGCCAGGGUGGGCGGCACCAGGACCCCUCCGUGCCUUCCCUGCAGCCCAGGCCCGGGAGUGGGUGGAAUUCAGAAAGCCCCGUGGGAAGGAGAAGGCCUGGUCCUCACCGUACCCAGGGACCCUGAGGCAUCUACAGGGCCAGGCCCACCUGGGAGUCACCCAGACCCACCGCCCUGUGGCCAGAUGGUGCCCGUGACGUAG
RNAcentral lists this long non-coding RNA (1185 nucleotides) under Oryctolagus cuniculus (rabbit). Its description in RNAcentral is "lncRNA (ENSOCUG00000035908.1)". The record is from RNAcentral. Lineage: Eukaryota; Metazoa; Chordata; Mammalia; Lagomorpha; Leporidae.